Non-coding RNA from Pelobates cultripes (western spadefoot toad), 205 nucleotides. Lineage: Eukaryota; Metazoa; Chordata; Amphibia; Anura; Pelobatidae. The record is from the annotation of a GenBank genome assembly.
AUCAUGGACGAUUUGUCCCCUACCCACCAUGAUGCUAAGGUAGCUAUAGUUAAAAAACAAAAACAAAAAACAAAACAAAAAAAAAAAAACACCCCCACACACACAUAAUGGAAAUACCAAAUAAGAUAUACCAUUACGUGCAAGACUUUUGUUAUGUACAAAUUAUGCCCCGUGUGCUGAUGUACAUAGGGUAGACAGAUACAGC